Osmia lignaria (orchard mason bee) is the source of this 931-nucleotide non-coding RNA. Lineage: Eukaryota; Metazoa; Arthropoda; Insecta; Hymenoptera; Megachilidae. The record is from RefSeq and is a predicted model, not a curated record.
UGUAUUCUUCAAUUCGGGACUUAAUCAGCGUAUCUAGACAACCAGGUAAUUAUCGUACGAUCGAUCGAUCGAUCGAUUACUUACCGAAAAGGAGGGGGCAAAAACGUAAUCUAAUGAUUCACGUUACUUACAAUUAGAGAAAAAAAUAACUCGUUCAACAGUGUUGCGAGCGAACGCGAUGCGUCAAUAGCGGUUGGGCGGAAAGGGGAAUGAGGAAAAGGGAGGAGUAAAACGACGCGUUUGUUGGCGCGAACGAGUACAUAAUUGCUAUCAAUUAAUUGUAUAAUGAAUCGCGCUGUCCUUGCUCCGGACACGACGAGAUUACGGAUUACCAAAACCUUGACCCUUUAAUUGAUUCGUGAUUGUGUAAAUAUUACGCAACAUCGUCGCCCGUGGUAUUUACCUCUAUAGCCUUCGACAAGGGCCAACUCGUUGGACAAACACCAACCGGACUUCGUCUAACACGACUUUUCCAUCGUCCGGUAAUUCAUUCGCGCGACCGAAUUUCCGAUAGAAAGGAAAAUAAACGAAUGCCAACAAUUGUAUUUUCUUUUUUAAAUUAGCGAAGAAUCCAUUUUAUUUGUAUGUUUCAUCUAACGCGUACAUCCUCGCAUACGAGAUAAUCGUAUGAGCAUGGAAAACACGAUAUAUACCGGUACUAUAGAACGGUGACGAUUAGAUUAACUUGCUCUAAAACGCGCAUAAGAAUUAUCUAUCGAUUUCACCGAACACCACAUCCAGGGUACCGAUGAUGGCCACGACAUCGGCAAGCAUACAGGAUGGACCUAUGUGACGGAGAGCAGCCAGGUGAGCGAAACCAGGUGCUUUGAUCUUGCAUCUGUAAGGUUUGCUGGUACCGUCGCUCACGAGGUAAACGCCAAAUUCACCCUUCGGCGCCUCGAUCGCGGUGUACGUACAACCAGGCGGCACC